Molecule: ribosomal RNA, 492 nt
Filed under: uncultured bacterium
Lineage: Bacteria
Description: partial 16S ribosomal RNA
Rfam family: Bacterial small subunit ribosomal RNA
Source: RNAcentral
AGUGAACGCUGGCGGUAGACCUAACACAUGCAAGUCGAACGGCAGCACCGUAAGUGCUUGCUCUUACGGGUGGGGAGUGGCGGGAGGGUGAGGAGUAUAUCGGACUCUACAUUUUCGGGGGGGAUCACGUAGGGAAAGUUAAGCUAGGACCGCAUACGACCUACGGGUGAAAGGAGGGGAUCAUAGGAACUUGUGCGAUUGAAUGAGGCGAUGUCGGCUUAGCUGGUUGGCGGGGUAAAGGCCCACCAAGGCGGCGAUGCGUAGCUGGUGUGAGUGGAUGGUCGGCCCCACUGGAACGGAGACGCGGCCCAGACGCCUACGGGAGGCGGCAGUGGGGAAUAGUGGACAAUGGGGGUAAGCAUGAUCCAGCCGUGCCGCGUGGGGGGAGAAGGCCUUCGGGUGGUAAAGACCUUUUUUUGGGAAAGAAAAGCAGCAGGUUAAUACCCAGCUGUUCUGACGGUACCCAAAGAAUAAGCACCGGCUAACUUCGUG